RNAcentral lists this ribosomal RNA (474 nucleotides) under uncultured bacterium. RNAcentral describes it as "bacterial SSU rRNA". It matches the Rfam family "Bacterial small subunit ribosomal RNA", at positions 30 to 491 of the family's 1533-position model. The record is from RNAcentral.
AUUGAACGCUGGCGGCAUGCCUUACACAUGCAAGUCGAACGGCAGCGGACCUUCGGGUGCCGGCGAGUGGCGAACGGGUGAGUAAUAUAUCGGAACGUACCUUUCAGUGGGGGAUAACGUAGCGAAAGUUACGCUAAUACCGCAUAUUCUGUGAGCAGGAAAGCAGGGGAUCGCAAGACCUUGCGCUGAUUGAGCGGCCGAUAUCAGAUUAGCUAGUUGGUGAGGUAAAGGCUCACCAAGGCGACGAUCUGUAGCGGGUCUGAGAGGAUGAUCCGCCACACUGGAACUGAGACACGGUCCAGACUCCUACGGGAGGCAGCAGUGGGGAAUUUUGGACAAUGGGCGAAAGCCUGAUCCAGCCAUGCCGCGUGAGUGAAGAAGGCCUUCGGGUUGUAAAGUACGUCUUUCUAGUACGGAAAGGAAAUACGCAUCUUCUAAUACAGGUGUGGAGUGACGGUACCGUAACGAAGAAGA